This is a non-coding RNA of Crucibulum laeve, 102 nucleotides long. NCBI's taxonomy places the organism in Eukaryota, Fungi, Basidiomycota, Agaricomycetes, Agaricales, Nidulariaceae. The record is from the annotation of a GenBank genome assembly.
ACACCGAUGGUGAAGCGGUUAUCAUGCUUGCCUUCCACUGAUGUUUCAUAUGACGUGAAAUUACGUAAGCAAGCGGCAGGGGUUCGACUCCCCUUCGGUGUA